This 502-nucleotide unclassified non-coding RNA is filed under the name Isaria sp. 14TymH7. RNAcentral describes it as "partial contains ITS1, 5.8S rRNA and ITS2". The stretch from base 182 to 335 matches the Rfam family "5.8S ribosomal RNA". Lineage: Eukaryota; Fungi; Ascomycota; Sordariomycetes; Hypocreales; Cordycipitaceae. The record is from RNAcentral.
CCGAGUUUUCAACUCCCAAACCCUUUUGUGAACAUACCUAUCGUUGCUUCGGCGGACUCGCCCCAGCGUCCGGCCGGCCCCGCGCCGGCCGCGGCCUGGAUCCAGGCGGCCGCCGGAGACCCCCAAACUCUGUAUUCUCAGUAUCUUCUGAAUCCGCCGCAAGGCAAAACAAAUGAAUCAAAACUUUCAACAACGGAUCUCUUGGUUCUGGCAUCGAUGAAGAACGCAGCGAAAUGCGAUAAGUAAUGUGAAUUGCAGAAUUCAGUGAAUCAUCGAAUCUUUGAACGCACAUUGCGCCCGCCAGCAUUCUGGCGGGCAUGCCUGUUCGAGCGUCAUUUCAACCCUCGACUUCCCUUUGGGGAAAUCGGCGUUGGGGACCGGCCGUAUACCGCCGGCCCCGAAAUGAAGUGGCGGCCCGUCCGCGGCGACCUCUGCGUAGUAAUCCAACUCGCACCGGAACCCCGACGUGGCCACGCCGUAAAACCCCCGACUUCUGAACGUU